CCUACGGGGUGCACCAGUAGGGAAUCUUCCGCAAUGGGCGUAAGCCUGACGGAGCAACGCCGCGUGAGUGAUGAAGGUCUUCGGAUCGUAAAACUCUGUUAUUAGGGGAGAACAAACGUGUAAGUAACUGUGCACGUCUUGACGGUACCUAAUCAGAAAGCCACAGCUAACUACGUGCCAGCAGCCGCGGUAAUACGUAGGUGGCAAGCGUUAUCCGGAAUUAUUGGGCGUAAAGCGCGCGUAGGCGGUUUUUUAAGUCUGAUGUGAAAGCCCACGGCUCAACCGUGGAGGGUCAUUGGAAACUGGAAAACUUGAGUGCAGAAGAGGAAAGUGGAAUUCCAUGUGUAGCGGUGAAAUGCGCAGAGAUAUGGAGGAACACCAGUGGCGAAGGCGACUUUCUGGUCUGUAACUGACGCUGGUGUGCGAAAGCGUGGGGAGCAAACAGGAUUAGAUACCCUAGUAGUC
RNAcentral lists this ribosomal RNA (465 nucleotides) under uncultured bacterium. Its description in RNAcentral is "bacterial SSU rRNA". It matches the Rfam family "Bacterial small subunit ribosomal RNA", at positions 338 to 795 of the family's 1533-position model. The record is from RNAcentral.